AGUGGGAUAGUUGGGUCAAAUGGUGAUUCUAUUCCCAGUUUUCCAAGGAAUAUUUACACUGCUUUCCAGAUUGGCUACACCAAUUUGCAUUCCCACCAGCAAU
This 103-nucleotide microRNA precursor is filed under the name Marmota monax (woodchuck). Lineage: Eukaryota; Metazoa; Chordata; Mammalia; Rodentia; Sciuridae. The record is from RNAcentral.